This 504-nucleotide ribosomal RNA is filed under the name uncultured bacterium. RNAcentral describes it as "bacterial SSU rRNA". It matches the Rfam family "Bacterial small subunit ribosomal RNA", at positions 1 to 524 of the family's 1533-position model. The record is from RNAcentral.
UAGAGUUUGAUCCUGGCUCAGAAUCAACGCUGGCGGCGUGCCUCAGACAUGCAAGUCGAACGAUUAAAGCUCUCUUCGGAGAGUGCAUAAAGUGGCGCACGGGUGAGUAACACGUAAGUAAUCUACCUUCGAGUGGGGAAUAACAGUCGGAAACGACUGCUAAUACCGCAUAAUGCAGCGGCAUCUAUGAUGACAGUUGUUAAAGGAGCAAUCCGCUUGAAGAGGAGCUUGCGGCAGAUUAGCUAGUUGGUAAGGUAAUGGCUUACCAAGGCUACGAUCUGUAUCCGGUCUAAGAGGACGGUCGGACACACUGACACUGAAUAACGGGUCAGACUCCUACGGGAGGCAGCAGUCGGGAAUUUCGGGCAAUGGGGGAAACCCUGACCCAGCAACGCCGCGUGAAGGAUGAAGUUUUUCGGAAUGUAAACUUCGAAAGAAUGGGAAGAAUCAAUGACGGUACCAUUUAUAAGGUCCGGCUAACUACGUGCCAGCAGCCCCGGUCAA